UCAGCGGGUAAUCUUGCUUGAUUCGAGGUCAAAACAUUGUAAAAUUGGCAACUGCUUCCAGUACUCGUUGCAUUGCUCUGCAUCUUGUACUUUCAGAAUUUGCCUAUAGUUUUCAGCAUUCAAGUACUUUGGAUGCCAACAUCAAUUCAGAUUGAGGAAUAGACGACGCUCGAACAAGCAUGCCGAAAGCAUUAGGCUUCAGGCGCAAUGUGCGUUCAAAGAUUCGAUGAUUCACUGGUUUCUGCAAUUCACAUUACGUAUCGCAUUUCGCUGCGUUCUUCAUCGAUGCAAGAGCCA
Molecule: unclassified non-coding RNA, 297 nt
Filed under: uncultured fungus
Lineage: Eukaryota; Fungi
Description: partial contains 5.8S ribosomal RNA and internal transcribed spacer 2
Source: RNAcentral